Long non-coding RNA from Pseudopipra pipra, 4966 nucleotides. RefSeq lists it as uncharacterized. The record is from RefSeq and is a predicted model, not a curated record. The transcript has 4 exons. NCBI's taxonomy places the organism in Eukaryota, Metazoa, Chordata, Aves, Passeriformes, Pipridae.
CGGGCUGCUCCUCACCGCGGUGCUGGCUGCUGCUGCUAAACACUCACUCCUGCUUGCUGUUUCUCUCGUGGUUUAUUUGUAUUUUAAAAGUAGUCAGGAUGCGGUUCCCCCCCCCCCCCCUUCUGACGCGUGGGAAGCAAAGCCGAUGGCUCGUGUCUAACAGCUGAAGGAGAACAGCCACGCGAGCUGCGGGGCAAACUGCGUCCAACAGCAAAAGGGACCAUUCAAUCUGAAUGAAACCAGAAGUGAGGCUCUUGCACCGGUCUGCUGGGGGGGAAAUCAGGCAUAAAUGGUCCUUUGGCCUCAGCUGAGGGCUGCUUUGGAAAGAUGCCAAAAUGGGGUUGGGAUUUGGACAGGAAACCAGAUCCUGAGUAUCUCAACUACUCUGAUUCCAUAUUUCAACAAAAGGUGAUGAGAAAGAAAAACCUCCUGGAAGCUAACUGUUGGAUAUGGGAUGAUGGAGACCAAGACAAUUGAAUCAACAGAAAAAGUGGUAGAAAAGUUGAAAGUAGAAAAUGGCUGAAAGGGAUGGGCUGGGGGCAGCACAUGUUCUGCUGUAAGAUAUGUUAUUUAUAGCAACACAGAAUUGUAGACUAAUUUAUGUUAGAAGGGACCACAGGUUGUCUCUAGUCCAAAUUCCUCCUUAAGGCAGAGUCUGCUAUGAGACCAAACCAGAGUGCUCAGAGCUUUAGCCAUUUAGGUCUUGAAAACCUCCAAGGAUUGAGAUUGUACAUCCAGCAUCUCUGGACAAUCUGUUCCAAUGCUUGGCUGUCCUCAUCAUGAAAAAGUUUUUGCUUAUAUCAAGUCAUGGUUUUUUUAAGUUACAAUUUAUGUCUCUCAGUUUUGUCCUCUCACCUUGCACUACUGUGCAGAGCCUGGCUUUGCUUUCUUGAUAAUCUCCCCUGGAAGCCCCUCUUAGGCUAAAUGAGCUCAGUUUCUUCAGUUUCUUCUUUAUAGGGCAAAUGUCCCAGCCCUUAUCCAUCUUGGUGCCACCCACUGAACUUGCUGCAAUUUAUCAUCACAGUCAAGUGUAUGGAAUAUGGAAUCAAAUGUAAUGGACUUUUCAGACAAUGAGUAUUCAGAAGAGAGCCAAGACUAGAGAAACAUUUAGAUGAUUCAUUGUCAUCUUAAUACUCAGGAACAACCAGGAGCUGAAGAAAAGCUUUGUAUACUAUUUAAAUGUGAUCUAUCUGCUCUAUUCCGUGGAGAAUCUGGUUACUUGAUCAGACCAGCUUUUGUAGGUUUUGUCCCCACUGAGUGUAGGAUCUGUCCCAGGGCCAUCAUGAAAACUUGUGUGUUUACAGAACGUUUCAACCUAAUAGCAGUUGUGCUCUGUAAAAGAUUUGUCAGAUGCAAGUGCACUAUUUGAUCAACUAGCUCAGAAGAGGGAUAUGCAAAACAGUGGUGGGUGGGAGAAAAAAGCAUCUUUUGAGUUGACAUAUUAUGAAAUAUUCAAGGUAACAGGUAGGAGAGCUUCAUCACCCACUCUAUUCCUGCUCCAACGAGCUACUGCCUGUACACUUCCAAAUCUUGCUCAGCAUUUUAUCUAACAGUAAUCCCCCCAGUUUGAAGAGACUAAAGGCAGCUCCAUGCUACUGAAGUAGAAUAGGUUUCUCCUCCUCUGUUUUAAAUUUCUCUUACAUCUUUCACAGUGAAACAGCUCAAAGGACUUUUCAACCAAUCCACAAGUUCCCGUGCACAUGACAGAGGUCCCAUUUUGAUUCAGAAGGAAAUGUGGCCUGGCUCACUACCUGGCAAAGCCAUACAGCCUCCAGGGUUCACACAGGGAGCCCUGUAACUCCCUCAGGCAGGAGGAGCACAGUCCCAGUGCAAGGCUGCAGAUACACAGACCCUGAGCCUAUGGAUAUUGAGAGGGCAUUUGCCAGAUAAUUUUAAAGGGAAAAGAAGUGAAAAUCCAGGAAGACUAAGGCCUCUCCAGUAAUAUAGAGAAAUCAGCAAUUCACAGUUGAGACUUUUAAGAAUCUUCCAGCAAAGUGAGACUAUGGAAAGAAAACUGGGCAAUCCCCUGUAAGGGCAACAGAAUCUUCUGUGCAAGUUAGUGCUCCUCCCUUUUCAUAACACAAGUCAGCUCCAGUGUACCAGGUUAGAUGAAGAUGUUCAAAUGGAAUGGACAUAUGCCCUGGAAACUAAACACACACUUUGCCUCAGAUAAAGCUAUUGCAACCAACUAGCAGGAAAAUGGAUGAAGAUUCAGCAAAACCUUAUUAGUCUGACUGCCACAGUGUUUUCCUGUCUCCACCCACCACAGCUCUAACAGUCCUUGACAGUCUAGUUCUUUCUGAGAAGGGCAAGUCCAGCAGUCACAGCAGAUAGACACACAGUAGUGCUGCAUCAGCAAGAAAUUUGAGCAGAUGGUUAUGUCCUAAUUCUGCUGAGCUUCCCAGUGUACAUUCUAAGCAUAACUUAAAAGUUGUUAUAACGAUAACCACUGUAGUAUAUAGGAACACACAUUACUGUGCUAGAUAAACAAUAGCACUUGGAAAAAAGCAAAAUACUACAUUGCAAUAUUGUAAAAAGCUACUGGUAAGGGCUUAGAAGCUUCAUGUGAAUAUGCAAUGUCUCUGAGCACAAAAGCUGGGUUUUAAAAAGUGCCUGUGCACUCAAGAGUUCUUCAAAUUGCUGCCAUUUUUGAAGGAAGUAAACAUUAUAACAACUACAUAUUACAUGGGUGGGGAAAAAAUUAACUAACAAAGUAAAAUAUUUUAAUUGUUAUGCACUGGAAAACAGAAAAAGCCAUGACAUUGUGAAAGACUGCAAACUUUUCCCCACAGUUCCCUUUUUCCAUCCAGCCGAAAUUGCCACAAUGCCAUCUCCCCAAGCUUGGGGACAGCCAGCGAAAUCCCUGCUGAGGACCACUGCAGGAGUGAAAGAAUGUACAAGAAUGUUGUGAUGAAUUUAAGAAUUAUAAAACCCUCCACUUAUCUAUGAGAGUUUACAUAUUUACAAGUUUGUGUUUUGAAGAAUGUGUAGAGUUUGUAGUUACUUGUGCUGUACACAGGAGACAACCUCCCCUGCAUUAGCCUGCCAGAGCAAGUCCUUUUUAAGACAGAGGACAAAUAAAGAUACCAGUGGGGUUUAUAAAGGUUUGGUGGCAAUGAAUAUCCAAGUUAACAGCUGUGUCUGCAAUGAACUCAGUGUCUGCAGGAUCUGGGGCUGCCUUCUAAAAGAGUCCAGGCAACUAUUCCACAAGCAUACAGUCAGCUGUGAGUGAAAGGAUGGUCAGGUUUCUACUGCACCUUAUUUCUUUUCCUGUUCUCCUUCCUUGCUUACCUUUCUCACCCUAAAUUCAAAAUACCCUCUGUCACAUUUUAACUUGAACCUUGUUUUCCUCUCUCAACAGUGAAAAUAAAAUAAAUAUCCUGCACAGUUAAGAACAAAAAUAAGUUUUACCUUUUGAAGCAUUGCAUUGCCCUGGUGUCCAUUGACAUUGUGAUGGCUGAUCUCUCUUUUGUAUUGAUAUUCAUAGACCUGAUUUGUUAUAUUAAUAAGAAGAGUGGAUGGCCCAGAUUUCAGCUUUUCACAUUCAUAAACGGUCCCACUUUCUACAUCUGAUGCUUUUGUCACAUAUCGUAUAAUUAAUCCCAUUACGAGGCCUGGAGAGUAAAGAAAAAAAGAAAAAUGAGAAAGAUUCAAGUACUUUUAAGUAUUUGAUGCUACACAAUUACUGAUUUAGAGAAAAAAUAACUCUGUCAAAGUUAGGACCCCUUUGCAGUGUUUCUACCUUCACAGAGAUACACCUCUCUCAACACGCCAUGGAUGACCAUAAAAUAGUUUUCCAAAGUGGUCAUUUCAUUAGAAUGCAGAUGUUGGUUUGACACAUGUGCAGUCAUAUUCUUAUUUUUGUGAUGCACUUGCUGGCAUAAUUAUUAACUGAGUUUCUCAUGCACCAAAUUUUUAAUAGAUAUUCAGAGCAGGGAGAUGCCUGCAUAACUAACGUGCUGUACUGAGCAUAAAAACAUCAGCUGUGCUGUUGGUGAUUUUACACACUUCAUUUGUGGGGACAAAACUCUGACACAUCCUCAGGCACAUUUUGCCUUCUGUAGGAGACUAUUUUUAAGACUGUAUAAACAUAGGACAAUAAAAGCAGGGGGAAGGGAAGGAAGAUUAAGAAUGGAACUAAUUGAUUUGACUAUCUACAAUUUAGGACUCUUAUCUGAGACAGAUAUUUUGUCUCCUUUUACAUUUAAGAAAAAGGAAAAUGUACUUCUGCAACUAUCCUGUGGAAGGUAUGCUUCUUUCUGUUGGCUCUAGUGGGAGCUUGCAUGUUUACUUCAGGAGAGAUGACUAAUAUUUAGCUGAUAAUAUUGCUGAGAUUAUUUCCACCCUCAGAGACUUGGAUUUGGUUUCAAAUUCAAUUUCCAUGCUUCUUUUAUGUCUUAUGUGCUUUAAGUACCAUGUAUAGGAUGAACAGCUUUAAAGUUACUAAUUAUGAACAUAUGGUAAAAUGCUAAGAAUACUUAGAUUAAAUAUUGAUGGAAGACAUCUAAACAUCUAGAUAGAUAUACUUACUAAUGAAAGAUAAGAAAGAAAAUAAAUUACAGGAAGUAGCUGAGAAGCAUCUGCAGUUUCAGUUUUGUCCUGUAAUCAGGACAAAAUAUUACAGUUUCAGUUUUGUCCUGUAAUCAGAUGCUAAGUGAUCACAAACACCUAGAGACAUAAAUAGGAUGUCUUUGUUAUUGUCAAGUUUUCUGAUAACAGAUAUUCUCUGAACUGCAGAUUCCUGGCAUACAUGUAAGGCAGGUUUGUAGGCUCUUGUACUGAUGCUAGAACUGAGUAACAGCUGUAUUGCCUGUUCAGUCUGUGUAUGCAUUUGUGCUUGUUUAAUAUCUAUUGUUUACUAUGGUUGCUUUCUGUAAAUGAUAGAGGAUUUCAGUAAGCUGUAGAAAAUCCCAAGGCCACUUUCUUAAGUUGCACAGCAUUUGUGCAAUAAAUCACAUUAUAAAUC